CAUGCCAAGAAGAACGGAGGUUCUGCAGCCAAUGGUACCAUUGGAGUGGAGUUGGCUUCCUCCGUCGCUGCGCUGCCUUUCCUCUCCAACCCUGCAUACCUCUGAUGUUGAGGAAGCCUCUAGGUAAAGUUGAUUGGUCAUUUCAGUUUAGAUGAACAUUGCUCUAGGUUAUUGUUCGUUUCCUUGAUCUGUGGCUACUGCAAAGUUUGUAAUAUCAGUGUUGGUGUGCUAAUCUUAACCAAUAUGUGGCAUGAGGAUGCUGUUCGUUAAUGUUUAGGAAUUUGUAUCCUUGAAGUAUGUAGAGGCAUAAUUUUAAAUGUGAAACCCAUAUACAAUGAUAAUUUGGUUUACUCCUGAGUUUUGGCCUUAAGAGUGAGAAAGUUGGUACUUUAUUUGUCUUGUGUUCUGAAUCUGUUACUUCGUGCUUAUAUUGUUGUGGAUUAGGGGAACUUUCAGUUUGCUUGGAAGUGCUGAUGUCCUUAUAAUGUAUUGUGAUAUACUACCUCUGUUUUCUAGAUACAAGACGUUUUAACAGUUAAGAUUGAACUGCCAAAACAUCUUAUAUUUAGGAACAGAGUGUACUAGUUUGUCUCACAUUUUUCUGUUGGGAUACUGAUGUCCUGAUAAUGGCAUUGUGAUGUACUCCCUCUGUAAAGAAAUAUAAAAGUGUUUAGAACACUAAAACACUCUUAUAUUUCUUUACAGAGGGAGUAGUUUUUUCACAUUUUUCUGCUGGGAUACUGAUGCAUUAGGUGGUGUAGUGAAUCGAUUUCUGUUUCUUUUGUCACUAGUCAUUGUCUCCCCUGCAUUGUACAUUUUUUUCUUCGAAUUGAAGAGCAUAGCUCCCAAUUUUCAUUCAUCAUGAAAGCUGAUGAUACAGCUGCUGCGAGAUCGACCUCCAAGGUUCGAAAGUUCCUUACAUAGCAAACACUGCAUCACUGGUACCGCCUUUGUCUUUAUAUACCAAAAGCACAACUAACCACGCCCCAUGCAAUGUCAACGAGCAAAGUGUAAACAAAUGUUCAAUCGUUCCAUCAUGAUCAUAGAACCUGCAUUUAACCCCCCCACCCCCCUAACAAGUUGUCCUUGGUUAGAUUACUGUUCUUAAACAUGAGCCAGAGAAAAAAAAUUAUUAUCCAAAGGAGCUUUUACAAACCAUAAGUUCAUAAAGGGUCAUUUCACCUGAAUACAGGGACUUAGCAGAAAACAUACUAAAAGAUGUUAAAGUCCAUAUACAUCUACCUCUAUCAUAGUAUCAUCAGUUAAAACUAUCCCAACACACAAAUUUGUAAUUGUUGACAAGCCACAGCUAAAUCUCCUCUCAAGCUCCUUCCGAAAUGAAUACUGCCCAAUCCCUCCUCAAACACUCUUGCUACAGUAAUAUUAAAACUUACAUUUACACUAUAUAAUCUAUGGAAUUUAAUGCACAGAGCAGUACCUCCUAACUUUUGUCCUAUCAGAAUCUACAAUUACCCACUUUUAUCUUUAUGAACUUGUAAAAAAUAUUCCAACUCAAAACUCCAUGAAUGGGACCCCACUGGAUUACUUUUAACAUGAACCAACAUAUUUACUACAAUAUUUUUUUCUAACUAAAUCCUGCCAUAAUCCAUACUCAAUUUUCAGCUUCCACAACCACUUGCUAAUUAAGCAGAUAUUCAUUUACUUUGUGCAAAGGCCCUUUUGGAAUAAUAAACAUAGGCAUCAUGAGAUAUAAGGUACAUUACUUAAGCAAAAACGUAUUCCCAUAAGCAAUCAUCCUUCCUGCCAAGUCCCCAAUUUACCUCCAUCUUAUCCUCUACCUUCUUCUAGUCAACUCGGGCCGCGGGGCCACCGUGCGCCGCCGGCCGCCGCGCACCGACGACUAGUCCAAGAACCGCGUCGACAUGCUCAAGAAGAAGUACAAGGCCGAGCGCGCCCGCGGCGAGCCCUCCGCCUGGAACUUCUACGGCGAGCUCGACCGCCUCGUCGGGCCCCACCCUCUCCGCCUCCGCCGCCACCAAGAAGCACCCCUCCUCCGGGCCGCUGGCACCUCACUUCGCCCUGCCCCUCCACCCUUCCGCCGCCAGGAGGCACCCGUCGCCCUCGUCUUCGCCGUCCCCGCCUCCGCCCAUGGCUGUGCCGCUGCCCAACUACCGUCGCGGGGUGCCUCUCCCUGCCGCCGCGUUUAUCCAGUAGGCCGCCGCUGCCGCGGUUUCUGAUUCAGAUGACUCUGGUGAUCUCGGUGUAACGCCUCGAGACCGACGCUCCAGACGCCUUCCAUGUUUUUCGAGUUUCGUCAUGUGUAUUUAUUUGUUUGUUGCAUUCAUCAUCGCAUUGCAUCUGCAAGUUUUCAUAAAACUUGCAUCCGCUCGUAGUUGCCGCGUCCCUCCUUGCUUUUGUUGACCGUUCCGAGACCAACCGUGUUUUCGGUUCCCUCUUGUCAAACCAACUAACCUCUCUCGUCAGCCCGCGAUCCCCUCGCGCGUGUCCGAAAAUUGUCCUGAACCCGACCCGGGUUGUUGUUAUCGAUGGGUCCGGAUCAUCCCCAAACAUCUAUAAAACAUCAUCGUUUCUUAUAUAGACUCUUCUAGCCUAUUUUCUCGACCGCCCGAUUACGAUCGGACGGACCGAAUACCCCUAAUCUAAUCCACCCGCAUAUAUAAAUGGGGGCAACCCUAAAUUUUGGGAGAGUUGUCCCAUCCUUCCUCCUCGCCGCCGCCACCCGGUCUCGAUCCACCUCGGGAUCCCCCUUCUCCUCGUUUUCCUCCACCCACCAACCAGCGCUCUCCACUGCCCCUCCCCGAUUUGCUCGCCCGGCCAACCAGAGCAGCUCCUCGAUCCACUCCACACCGACCCCCAUCGCCCUCCUCCCGUGCUUCCCGCGCGCCGCCGCAAGCAGCAGCACCACCGGAGCUCCCUUCGCCGUCGGGCACCACCAGCAGGUCGCCGUCUCCUCGCGCCCCUUCUUCCCUUUCUCUGGUUCCCCCCUGCUUCUGUUUCUCUCUCUCUCACGCUGCUCUCUCUCUGUUUGUCUUCGCAGCGCCGCCAUGGAUGGCCUCCCAUAGCUCCCGCUCGUUGCGUCGCCGUGAGUUCCGCCCGAUCCGCGUCGGAGAGCCUCGGACCUGUCCAUCCCCUUCGUCCCUCGACGCCGAGUCCCUCUGCUCGCCCGCGCCAAGACCAGCGAGCAGCUGCCUGCGUUCCACGCCCGAUGCCUCCUCUUCGACCCCCUGUGAACCCCGACGCCACCUCAUGCUGCCGCCGCCGGUGACCAGCAGGUCAUGUCGCCGUGCCCUGCCUCCUCUUCUUCGCGUUCUGCUUCUUCCCGCCGUCUUCUCUCUGCGUCUCUUGCUCAGUUCAUCUCUCUCACUUUGUUAUUCUGCAGAGACCUCGCCAUGGAUCCUCGUGGCCGGGCUCUCCCCGUCGCUGGAUGCCUCGCCGACCCGCCGGAUCCACGCCCGCCGGCCUCCACCGCAAGUUCUAGGCCGCCGCUGCUCUGCUUUCUGUCGGGCAAAGGAACACGCCCUGCUUUCCCUGCCUCGCUCGAUCUCCUGGAGGAGAGGACGAGCGCGUUGACCGCGCCUCCAGCGUCCUCCAAGGCCCAGCCCGCACUGCCUCAGCCGCCUCCACCGACUUGGGCCUUGGCCCAGGGUGAGCAGCACCCGCCCCUCUCCUGCGCACUGUUGGCCUAGCCAGAUUCGGCCCGAGUCACGUUUUUUUUCGCGGAACGUUUUUCUAAAUAACCAGUGCACUGCAUAUUUACAUAUUGGACCCUAAACUUCAUGCAUAUAAUAACUCAUGAACCAUGCAUCAUAUUAGAAUGAUGUAAACAUAUAAAGUGCUUAGAAUUUUAUCUAGUUUCAUAAUAUGCUUCUCUCAUCCAUGUUUAAAAUGUUCAAAAUGCUGUUUGAUUAAAUUUACUCAAUUGCCAUGCUAAAAUGUUUUAUUUCAUAACUAAAUAACCGUAGCUCCAUUUUAAAUAAACUUUAUAUGUAAAUGGGGUAGGAAAAUGCAUAGAUUAACAUGGUGCACUUUAUUUUGCUGUUUAACAACAAUACAAUAUGGUUUUAGGCAGAACAGUACCAAAUCUAAAAUAUGGACAUGAGGAUUUUCCGGAAUUGUUGUUGAUUGUUUCCGGCCUCAUUUAACUUGCUUAAAUAGUUAGUUUACUUAUGCUUCACCCCUUGCCAUGUUUAACAACAUUUAAUAUUGUUGGGUACAUAAACGAGAGAGAACUAAAUAAUUGAUGUGGUGUUUCGUCAAUAUGCAACUCGUUGCAUAUCGAGCUCCAUUUAAUUUAAUUUGUAGUAUUGUUUGUUGCACUUUGCCAUGCCAUGCCUCAUUAAAUCGGACAUGCAUCAUACUUGGUUGUGCAUCAUGCCAUGUUUAUGUGAUGAUUGUUUACUAUGUUUUUUGUUUCUUUCCGGGUUGCUUCUCUCGUUAGCUUCGGUUUUGUUCCGGAGUUGUGAGGAUUCGUUCGACUACGUCCGCUUGUCAUCUUCAUGGACUCGUUCUUCUUCCUUGCGGGAUUUCAGGCAAGAUGACCAUACCCUCGAAAUCACUUCUAUCUUUGCUUGCUAGUUGUUCGCUCUAUUGCUAUGCUGCGCUACCUACCACUUGCUAUAUCAUGCCUCCCAUGUUGCCAUGUCAAGUCUCUAACCAUCCUUUCCUAGCAAACCGUUGUUUGGCUAAGUUACCGCUUUUGCUCAGCCCUUCUUAUAGCGUUGAUAGUUGCAGGUAAAGUUGAAGGUUGUUCCUUGUUGGAACAUGGAUAUGUUGGGAUAUCACAAUAUCUCUUAUUUAAUUAAUGCAUCUAUAUACUUGGUAAAGGGUGGAAGGCUCGGCCUUAUGCCUGGUGUUUUGUUCCACUCUUGCCGCCCUAGUUUCCGUCAUACCGGUGUUAUGUUCCUUGAUUUUGCGUUCCUUACGCGGUUGGGUGAUUUAUGGGACCCCCUUGACAACUCGCUUUGAAUAAAACUCCUCCAGCAAGGCCCAACCUUGGUUUUACCAUUUGCUACCACCUAUCCCCUUUUCUCUUGGGUUCUGCAGACUCAAGGGUCAUCUUUAUUUUAAACCCCCGGGCCAGUGCUCCUCUGAGUGUUGGUCCAACCUAUCAGUCGCCGGUGGCCACCAGGGGCAACUCUGGGCUCGCCUAUCGGAAGCUUGGACAAUCCGGUGUGCCCUGAGAACGAGAUAUGUGCAGCUCCUAUCGGGAUUUGUCGGCACAUUCGGGCGGUUUUGCUGGUCUUGUUUUACCAUUGUCGAAAUGUCUUGUAACUAGGAUUCCGAGACUGAUUGGGUCUUCCCGGGAGAAGGAAUAUCCUUCGUUGACCGUGAGAGCUUAUAAUGGGCUAAGUUGGGACACCCCUGCAGGGUAUAAACUUUCGAGAGCCGUGCCCGCGGUUAUGUGGCAGAUGGGAAUUUGUUAAUAUCCGGUUGUAGAGAACUUGACACUUGACUUAAUUAAAAUGCAUCAACCGCGUGUGUAGCCGUGAUGGUCUCUUCUUGGCGGAGUCCGGGAAGUGAACACGGUUUUGGGUUAUGUUUGACGUAAGUAGGAGUUCAGGAUCACUUCUUGAUCAUUACUAGUUGACGACCGUUCCGUUGCUCCUCUUCUCGCUCUUAUUUGCGUAUGUUAGCCACCAUAUAUGCUUAGUGCUUGCUGCAGCUCCACCUCACUACCUUCUCCUACCCAUAAGCUUAAAUAGUCUUGAUCUCGCGGGUGUGAGAUUGCUGAGUCCUCGUGACUCACAGAUACUUCCAAACAGUUGCAGGUGCCGAUGAUACCAGUGCAGGCGAUGCUACCCAGCUCAAGUGGGAGUUCGACGAGGACCUUGGUCGUUACUAUGUUUCGUUUCCUGAUGAUCAGUAGUGGAGCCCAGUUGGGAUGAUCGGGGAUCUAGCAUUUGGGGUUGUCUUCUUUUCUUUUGGUUCCGUAGUCGGACCUAUGUGUGUACUCUGAUUGAUGUAUGAUUUAUUUAUGUAUUGUGUGAAGUGGCAAUUGUAAGCCAACUCUUUAUCCCAUUCUUGUUCAUUACAUGGGAUUGUGUGAAGAUGACCCUUCUUGCGACAAAACCACAAUGCGGUUAUGCCUCUAAGUCGUGCCUCGACACGUGGGAGAUAUAGCCGCAUCGUGGGUGAUACAAGUUGGUAAUCAGAGCCAUCCCCGACUUAGGAGCCCCCUGCUUGAUCGAAUCGCUGGCGUUGUUGAGUCUAGAAAAAAAUGUUUUGAGUCUUAGGAUUAUAUAUAUCGGAGAGUAGGAUUCUUUUUACUCCUCAGUCCCUUCGUCGCUCUGGUUAGGCCCCCUGACGUAGAAGUUUUGACUUUUCUCUCCUCAAAUUUCACUAAUUUUUUUUAGGAUCACGCGGGUAUCUUAGAAUCGUUCCGAUGGUUUUGUGACGAGAACAUUGUUCUUGGUGCCUCCUGACAUUUAGGGGUUGUGGCAUUGUCCCGGAGAGUUGAGCUUCGAGGUGUUGUCAUCACAAUUUUAUCGUUGCAGUUCUGGAAUACCUGAGUUUCGCCAACUUCGAAAAUCUCUUUUAUGCAGUUGUUGGUGAGAUCACCUCGACGCCACCCAGUACUGGGGCGGGAGUUCGGGAGUAUUGCCAUAACUCGUAUAACGGAUGCUUUUCGAAGGUUGAGGUACAUGAUUUCCGGAGUUUUCUUGGUUAUGUGUUGACAGAUGGAUACAGCUGGAUCUAGGUAUUGUUAGUUUGGGUGAGAUAUAUUGUGUCCCCUGUAUCCCCAACACCUGAUUGCAUAACCAGAAAGUUUCGGGAGUUUAUAAGUGGGAAUUCAAGUAUCUCGUAGGAUAUCUUUCCAACACACACAUGAUACGAUAUGGGAUCUAUCAUAUGUUUGUUUCCGGCUUAUUCUGCGAGCCAAUCCUUUGUUUUGUUUUGAUUUGUGGUAUUCGAGUUGCUUCAUUGUCAAGUGUUGAUUCCCUUCCUUUUCUAAGCGGUGUUCUCAUACUUCUAUGUGAAUACCAAUCCUUCUUGAUCAUCGAGAUUGUCAUCCCAAUUCUUUCCAACCGACGUGUUUCUCUUCAAGUGCAUCCGAUCAUUUCAACAUUCACAAGAUCACCUCUCAGUUUUUCCCAACGUUGUUUGUUUCAUCCGUCCCAAGUUGCCUUUGUUUUCCCGCCCUCCCACCCUUUUCCUUCAAGGAAUCAGAUGUCUUAACCAAGUAUCCAUUUUAUUCAUGUGAAGUCCCUUCAUUCUUUUCAAUCAAUGUUCUUACCCGGUGGUUCUCAUGAAGAUGUUCUUCAAGUUUAUCAUUCUUCAUUAUUUUUCUUCUCCGGUGGAUUCAAUUCAAGCUUUCUCUCAAUCAUAUAUUUUCCUCGUUUCAAAUGCUUUCUCAUGCCGGUGUACCUCUUAAUCUUCCACCUCUUGCUAUUCAUGUUUAUCUGGAGUGCUAAAGAUAUCCCAGAAGAUUCAAGUUUCUAUUCGUAAUCCUUUCAAGCUAUCUCGAGGUUGUUAUCUCUUUUGAGCCAUUUAAUUCUACCGGCGCAAUCUUUCUUUUAAAUCAUUCCAACGUUGUUUCUUUUGAGUGGGCCCUAACCCACAGGUCUUUUCCCAGGAUCUUACCUGACUCUUCUAAUUUUUUUUUGGAGUUAUUUUCAAAUUCAUUUCAAAGUUUGACGUAAGAAUGAGUCAUCAUCAGUCAAAUGUCUUUCUCCAAGAUCUUUCAAAUUCUUUCAUCGUUGGUUCAUCAUUUCUAUUAUCCAUUGUUCCGGAGUGUCUCAAUAAUUUUGGUGGUAUUUCUCGUCAUCAUUCUCAACAUUUGAAUACCGAAGAAGAGUUCCUCUUCAAUCUUGUCCGUUCUCUUGAAGAUUCAUGGUUCUAACUUGUUGCCAUCCUCUCAACUUGUUGCCAAUCGCGCUAUUUUUUUCUUACCCAUCCGGAGCAUUUCAGAGUUGUUUUCAUUUUUUGAUCAUCCAAAGGCCAUCUUUUCAGAAGAUUUCUUCGUUCUAAGUUUUCAGCCUCGUUCUCCAGUUAUUCUAAAUUGAUGUCUCUUCGUUCAUCUCCAUAUUCUCCCGGUGCAUCGUUCAAGUAUCCUCUAGUCAGCUCGUGAUCUAUUCGUUCUCAUGUAUCUAAAUUCCCUCGAGUAUUUUCACGCGUUCUUUAAUUCUUACGGUGUUUCGUCCUCUUUUCUUCAAUUGUUUUCAAUUCUCGUGGUGGUUCGUUCAAGAUUUCUCUUCCUUCGUUAUCAUAUCAAUUUAUUCGUUGUUUCAAUCCUACCGGUGGUUCGAUGAAGACCUUCCCAAGUUUGCGCAAUAUCUAUCUUAAUCCUUUCUACGAGAAUAAGUAGUAUGCCAAAUCCGUUGCUUGUCAUCAAUUUAAAUUGGUGAAGGAUAUGCAUAACGUAAUUCUUAUUAUGGUUUCAUCCAAGUGAUCUAGUUUCUUCUUUCCAGAGUUGUUCAUCAUGUCACAUUUCUCGGUUCGAGAGGCUUCAUCCUUUUCUUUUCCGGAGUUCCAAGUUUUCCGCAUUAUCUCGUCGCGAAGCUACAUCUAAAUCAUCGCAAGGCUUCACCUUAUGUUUUCAACUUUCGUUUCGUUUGGUCAUUCUUUUAUUACCGGAGUUCUUCAUGGAGGCUCUACAUGGUGGUUCGUCAAGGGUUCCUUUCAUUCUUCAAGUGUUCUUCAAGAAUUCUCUCGAAGCUAAGAUCCGCCAAGCUAUACUCUAAAAUAAACAUGGUGCUCAACCCAUGGUUGUCUUGAGGAGUUCAAGCAUUCUUCAUCUCGCAUUCCGAAGUGCAAUUCUUUCUCUCUUAUCUUUUGAGGUGGUGUUAUGUCAUUCUUCAUAAUUUUCUUCAUGUUUCAUGAUUCACAAGUUGUCAAGAUUGAGAUAUUUAAACCCAUCAUAUUUUCUUCGUCCAUGAGUUGUUUCAACCCAUAAUAAUCUCUUUGUUGGAAUUAUCUUGGUAUGGAUUUCACUUAAAGCCUUCUCGAAGGAAUGUUGCUAAUUGUGGUGUCUAUCAAUGAUCCAAGUUUUCUCCUAUCCUCUCGGCGAGAGAAGUUUUCAUCUCUUCGUUGAUCUCAAGCAAGCAAUUGUUUUUCGUUAGUGGCAGAAUUUCACCUCAAGUUUUGAGAUGUCUCCAUAAGCCCACGAAGAUCAUAUCCUUUCUUUGUUGAUUUUUCGACAACUCCGUUCUAUCCUUCUUUUAAGGAUGCUCUCUCAAAUUCACUUAAGGUAGAACAUGUUGUUUUCUUCUCCGUUCUUUUCAUUGCAUUCUUUCAUUUCUACCGGAGGCAUUGUGAUAUUGCUCUCUUCGACCCAUCAUCUUGUUUUGUCAAGAUCAUGUAAUUUUUCCUUUCUUAUCCGUUUAGCCGGAGUGUCGUGUUUUCAUUCGAGUUCUCUCAUCUUAUCAAGUUUAGUCUCCUUCCUCAACCGGAGGGCUGUCUGAAAUCUUUCUUACCCCUUGUGCCAUUCUUUCAUUAGUUCCGGAGGCAAUGUGUUGCUAAUUUCAUCGAGUAUCCUCUCAUCUUGUCAAGAUCAUGUUCAAUUCCUUCCAUUUACAGUCGGAGUGCUGUCCAAAUUAUGUCAUUCUUGUUCCUUGUUUCUCUUUUCUACCGGUGUGCUUUCAUAUUAAUUUUGAUCCGUUAAGCUCUUGUUUCAUGUCCUUCAACCUACAAGGUUCUCGCAAUGUCCCUUGUUCCUCUUGCUGAACGGAGUGUUUUAAAUUAUGUUCACCUCCGUUGUGUCAUUUCUUCAAGCUUUGCGACCUCUCAAGGUUCUUUGAUUUCACUCGUUUGUCAAAUAAGCAACUUUGUUUUACCUCUUCCUCUUCUGUUUCUCUCUGGUGCCAUCCUAGAUCUCGGGACGAGAUCCUCUUGUAGUGGUGGAGUGUUGUAACGCCCCGAGACCGACGCUCCAGACGCCUUCCAUGUUUUUCGAGUUUCGUCAUGUGUAUUUAUUUGUUUGUUGCAUUCAUCAUCGCAUUGCAUCUGCAUGUUUUCAUAAAACUUGCAUCCGCUCGUAGUUGCCGCGUCCCUCCUUGCUUUUGUUGACCGUUCCGAGACCAACCGUGUUUUCGGUUCCCUCUUGUCAAACCAACUAACCUCUCUCGUCAGCCCGCGAUCCCCUCGCGCGUGUCCGAAAAUUGUCCUGAACCCGACCCGGGUUGUUGUUACCGAUGGGUCCGGAUCAUCCCCAAACAUCUAUGAAACAUCAUCGUUUCUUAUAUAGACUCUUCUAGCCUAUUUUCUCGACCGCCCGAUUACGAUCGGACGGACCGAAUACCCCUAAUCUAAUCCACCCGCAUAUAUAAAUGGGGGCAACCCUAAAUUCUGGGAGAGUUGUCCCAUCCUUCCUCCUCGCCGCCGCCACCCGGUCUCGAUCCACCUCGGGAUCCCCUUCUCCUCGUUUUCCUCCACCCACCAACCAGCGCUCUCCACUGCCCCUCCCCGAUUUGCUCGCCCGGCCAACCAGAGCAGCUCCUCGAUCCACUCCACGCCGACCCCCAUCGCCCUCCUCCCGUGCUUCCUGCGCGCCGCCGCAAGCAGCAGCACCACCGGAGCUCCCUUCGCCGUCGGGCACCACCAGCAGGUCGCCGUCUCCUCGUGCCCCUUCUUCCCUUUCUAUGGUUCCCCCUGCUUCUAUUUCUCUCUCUCCCACGCUGCUCUCUCUCUGUUUGUCUUCGCAGCGCCGCCAUGGAUGGCCUCCCGUAGCUCCCGCUCGUUGCGUCGCCGUGAGUUCCGCCUGAUCCGCGUCGAAGAGCCUCGGACCUGUCCAUCCCCUUCGUCCCUCGACGCCGAGUCCCUCUGCUCGCCCGCACCAAGACCAGCGAGCAGCCGCCCGUGUUCCACGCCCGAUGCCUCCUCUUCGACCCCCGUGUGAACCCCGACGCCACCUCAUGCUGCCGCCGCCGGUGACCAGCAGGUCAUGUCGCCGUGCCCUGCCUCCUCUUCUUCGCGUUCUGCUUCUUCCCGCCGUCUUCUCUCUGCGUCUCUUGCUCAGUUCAUCUCUCUCACUUUGUUAUUCUGCAAAGACCUCGCCAUGGAUCCUCGUGGCCGGGCUCUCCCCGUCGCCGGAUGCCUCGCCGACCCGCCGGAUCCACGCCCGCCGGCCUCCACCGCAAGUUCUAGGCCGCCGCUGCUCUGCUUUCUGUCGGGCAAAGGAACGCGCCCUGCUUUCCCUGCCUCGCUCAAUCUCCUGGAGGAGAGGACGAGCGCGUUGACCGCGCCUCCAGCGUCCUCCAAGGCCCAGCCCGCACUGCCUCAGCCGCCUCCACCGACUUGGGCCUUGGCCCAGGGUGAGCAGCACCUGCCCCUCUCCUGCGCACUGUUGGCCUAGCCAGAUUCGGCCCGAGUCACGUUUUUUUUCGCGGAACGUUUUUCUAAAUAACCAGUGCACUGCAUAUUUACAUAUUGGACCCUAAACUUCAUGCAUAUAAUAACUCAUGAACCAUGCAUCAUAUUAGAAUGAUGUAAACAUAUAAAGUGCUUAGAAUUUUAUCUAGUUUCAUAAUAUGCUUCUCUCAUCCAUGUUUAAAAUGUUCAAAAUGCUGUUUGAUUAAAUUUACUCAAAUGCCAUGCUAAAAUGUUUUAUUUCAUAACUAAAUAACCGUAGCUCCAUUUUAAAUAAACUUUAUAUGUAAAUGGGGUAGGAAAAUGCAUAGAUUAACAUGGUGCACUUUAUUUUGCUGUUUAACAACAAUAAAAUAUGGUUUUAGGCAGAACAGUACCAAAUCUAAAAUAUGGACAUGAGGAUUUUCCGGAAUUGUUGUUGAUUGUUUCCGGCCUCAUUUAACUUGCUUAAAUAGUUAGUUUACUUAUGCUUCACCCCUUGCCAUGUUUAACAACAUUUAAUAUUGUUGGGUACAUAAACGAGAGAGAACUAAAUAAUUGAUGUGGUGUUUCGUCAAUAUGCAACUCGUUGCAUAUCGAGCUCCAUUUAAUUUAAUUUGUAGUAUUGUUUGUUGCACUUUGCCAUGCCAUGCCUCAUUAAAUCGGACAUGCAUCAUACUUGGUUGUGCAUCAUGCCAUGUUUAUGUGAUGAUUGUUUACUAUGUUUUUUGUUUCUUUCCGGGUUGCUUCUCUUGUUAGCUUCGGUUUUGUUCCGGAGUUGUGAGGAUUCGUUCGACUACGUCCGCUUGUCAUCUUCAUGGACUCGUUCUUCUUCCUUGCGGGAUUUCAGGCAAGAUGACCAUACCCUCGAAAUCACUUCUAUCUUUGCUUGCUAGUUGUUCGCUCUAUUGCUAUGCUGCGCUACCUACCACUUGCUAUAUCAUGCCUCCCAUGUUGCCAUGUCAAGUCUCUAACCAUCCUUUCCUAGCAAACCGUUGUUUGGCUAAGUUACCGCUUUUGCUCAGCCCUUCUUAUAGCGUUGAUAGUUGCAGGUAAAGUUGAAGGUUGUUCCUUGUUGGAACAUGGAUAUGUUGGGAUAUCACAAUAUCUCUUAUUUAAUUAAUGCAUCUAUAUACUUGGUAAAGGGUGGAAGGCUCGGCCUUAUGCCUGGUGUUUUGUUCCACUCUUGCCGCCCUAGUUUCCGUCAUACCGGUGUUAUGUUCCUUGAUUUUGCGUUCCUUACGCGGUUGGGUGAUUUAUGGGACCCCCUUGACAACUCGCUUUGAAUAAAACUCCUCCAGCAAGGCCCAACCUUGGUUUUACCAUUUGCUACCACCUAUCCCCUUUUCUCUUGGGUUCUGCAGACUCAAGGGUCAUCUUUAUUUUAAACCCCCGGGCCAGUGCUCCUCUGAGUGUUGGUCCAACCUAUCAGUCGCCGGUGGCCACCAGGGGCAACUCUGGGCUCGCCUAUCGGAAGCUUGGACAAUCCGGUGUGCCCUGAGAACGAGAUAUGUGCAGCUCCUAUCGGGAUUUGUCGGCACAUUCGGGCGGUUUUGCUGGUCUUGUUUUACCAUUGUCGAAAUGUCUUGUAACUAGGAUUCCGAGACUGAUUGGGUCUUCCCGGGAGAAGGAAUAUCCUUCGUUGACCGUGAGAGCUUAUAAUGGGCUAAGUUGGGACACCCCUGCAGGGUAUAAACUUUCGAGAGCCGUGCCCGCGGUUAUGUGGCAGAUGGGAAUUUGUUAAUAUCCGGUUGUAGAGAACUUGACACUUGACUUAAUUAAAAUGCAUCAACCGCGUGUGUAGCCGUGAUGGUCUCUUCUUGGCGGAGUCCGGGAAGUGAACACGGUUUUGGGUUAUGUUUGACGUAAGUAGGAGUUCAGGAUCACUUCUUGAUCAUUACUAGUUGACGACCGUUCCGUUGCUCCUCUUCUCGCUCUUAUUUGCGUAUGUUAGCCACCAUAUAUGCUUAGUGCUUGCUGCAGCUCCACCUCACUACCUUCUCCUACCCAUAAGCUUAAAUAGUCUUGAUCUCGCGGGUGUGAGAUUGCUGAGUCCUCGUGACUCACAGAUACUUCCAAACAGUUGCAGGUGCCGAUGAUACCAGUGCAGGCGAUGCUACCCAGCUCAAGUGGGAGUUCGACGAGGACCUUGGUCGUUACUAUGUUUCGUUUCCUGAUGAUCAGUAGUGGAGCCCAGUUGGGACGAUCGGGGAUCUAGCAUUUGGGGUUGUCUUCUUUUCUUUUGGUUCCGUAGUCGGACCUAUGUGUGUACUCUGAUUGAUGUAUGAUUUAUUUAUGUAUUGUGUGAAGUGGCGAUUGUAAGCCAACUCUUUAUCCCAUUCUUGUUCAUUACAUGGGAUUGUGUGAAGAUGACCUUUUUGCGAUAAAACCACAAUGCGGUUAUGCCUCUAAGUCGUGCCUCGACACAUGGGAGAUAUAGCCGCAUCAUGGGUGUUACACUCGGUGAGAACAACAGCAACAACUCGCAUCGGUCAUCGUCCCGCUCCGUUUCAUCGCACUCCGGUGGUAACAACAAGCGCCGCCGCCGCAGCGAAAGCAGCGGUGGUGGCGAUGGUGGUGUCAGCGAGCUGGCGAGGGCGAUCGAGGCAUUUGCAGAGAUGUACGAGCGCGUCGAGAGUGCUAAGCAGAAGCAAUCCCUGGAGAUGGAGCGAGAGCGGAUCAAGUUCAUGAAGCAGCUGGAGGUGAAGCGCAUGGAGAACGUCGUCGAUGCUCAUAUGAAGCUCGCAAGAAUGAAGCAUGCCAGGAAGAACGGAGGUUCUGCAGCCAAUGGUACCAUUGGAGUGGAGUUGGCUUCCUCCGUGGCUGCGCUGCCUUUCCUCUCCAAUCCUGCAUACCUCUAAUGUUGAGGAAGCCUCUAGGUGAAGUUGAUUGGUCAUUUCAGUUUAGAUGAACAUUGCUCUAGGUUAUUGUUCGUUCCUUGAUCUGUGGCUACUGCAAAGUUUGUAAUAUCAGUGUUGAUGUGCUAAUCCUAACCAAUAUGUGGAAUGAGGAUGCUGUUCGUUAAUGUUUAGGAAUUUGUAUCCUUGAAGUAUGUAGAGGCGUAAUUUUAAAUGUGAAACCCAUAUACAAUGACAUUUUGGUUUACUCCUGAGUUUUGGCCUUAAGAGUGAGAAGGUUGGUACUUUAUUUGUCUUGUGUUCUGAAUCUGUUACUUAGUGCUUAUAUUGUUGUGGAUUAUGGGAAUUUUCAAUUUUCUUGGAAGUGCUGAUGUCCUGAUAAUGUAUUGUGAUAUACUACCUCUGUUUUGUAAAUAUAAGACGUUUUGACAAUUAAGAUUGAACUACCAAAACAUCUUAUAUUUAGGAACAUAGGGUGUACUAGUUUGUUUCACAUUUUUCUGAUUGGAUACUAAUGUCGUGAUAAUGCAUUGUGAUGUACUCCCUCCGUAAAGAAAUAUAAGAGUGUUUAGAACACUAAAUUAAACGCUCUUAUAUUUUGUGUUCUAAACACUCUUAUAUUUCUUUACAGAGGGAGUAGUUUUUUUUCACAUUUUUCUGCUGGGAUACUGAUGCAUUAGGUGGUGUAGUGAAUUGACUUCUGUUUCUUUUGUCACUAGUCAUCGUCUCCCCUGCAUUAUACAUUGUUUUCUUUGAAUUGAAGAGCAUAGUUCCCAAUUUUCAUUCAUCAUGAAAGUUGAUAAUACAGCUGCUGCGAGAUCGACCUCCAUGGUUCGAUCAAGUUCCGUACAUAGCAAACAAGAACAUAAAACUUCAACUGCAACAUCUUCGCUAGACCUCCAUCCUAUCCUCUACCAUCUUCUAGUCACUAUUUCUUAGUUUGACAUUAUCCACUGGUAUUCCCUCGUGAGACAUAGAAAGAACUCCAGCGGCACAAAUAAAAAUCUCCCUAUAAAUUGUUUUUUAGCCGGGACAAUGUUCAUAAUACAUAAGACACUCUUAAAGUUUGUAGCAUCUUCACCACUAGCUCUUGAAUUGAAAUUGAAAAGAAAUGUAGCCCCGGUUCCUUCGGAAAUGAUAAGAUCUUUUUAUCACAAACUUGUGUCAUCAACAUACUUUCACGUGCGGAUUCCACCUUCAACUAAAUGUGACACUAUGCCUCUAAUCAAACCAACUUGUUUAGCUCUUUGUAUGAGUUCCUAUAGCACAUCUACCGCAAAAAUGGAAAAGAAUGGAUAAUAAUUGAAAAGAAUGGGUGAGAGAGGAACCCCUGCCUCAACACCUCCCAUGUUUUGGAAUAUGGACCUAUCUGUCCAUAAACAUUGGUUGCAACAUUAACCCCAGAACAAUUUUAUUAAUCCAACAUAUGUACUUCUCUGGAAAACCUUUCAUACUAAGAAUAGAGAAAAGAAAAUGACAACUUAUUUUAUCGUGAGGUUUCUCAAAAUCUACCUUAAACAUCAAUGCACUUUAUCCCCCCCUAUAAACCUCAUGUAAUGUUUCAAGAACCACUCCAUUCAAUAUGAAAAUGUCCUUCAAUGAAAGAAUUCUGCAAUGGAGCUAUUAUUUUAGAUGCCAAGCUAACUGUUCUAUUGUUAACCACCCUAGUCAGCCACUUGAACAACACAUUAAUCAAGCAUAUGGGCCUCAACAUCUGAAUUUUGUCAGCUUCUAGGGUUUUACGUAAAAAAGAAUCAAUAGCAUAAUUCAACCUACUAACAUAUAGUCUACCAUGAAAAAAUGAACUAAACAACUAUAAACACAAUACUUUGUCAACUCCCAUUAAUGCUGGUAAUUUGCAGGCAACCCAUCAGGACCAGAAGCUUUUUUUCAAUUGGCACAAAGCACUUUUAAUUUCUAUGGAUUGAAAUUAUUUAUAAGCAUCUCUCUAUUAGCAUCAUCUAACGCACUUGGAACCGGCAAAUCCCAAUAAAUUUCAGCAGCUAAAGCAACAUGACCAAAUAAGUUCUUGUCAAAGUCUGUAGCAUGUAACAAUAACUCCCUAUCACCCUCAGUUACAUCUUUAUUAUGCUUCUGCGAAACAAUAUAAUACGUCUACACCUGACACUAACUUUUUCCAUAAAGAAUCAAAGCACCUCCAACAUCUAAUAUGUUCUUUUGAUCUCUCUAUCCAUCUAAUUUACUCUUCUCUAGGGCUUUUUUGUAGUUUAUUAUCUAUUUUUUAUCUAUGGAAGAGCUACAUUAUGUGGGUUUCCACAUGGAAAGACAUAAACGUUAUGGACCUGAUGGUUUAUUUAGUGAAUUCCUAAACUUCUGGGAAUUAACUAGAUGGGAUCUCAAGGCUUUGCUUGAUGAUUUCCAUGAGGGACACAUUAGCAUUUCAAGAAAUAACCAUCACAUUAUCAUUUUGGUGCCUAAAACAAAAAUGCUAAACAAAUACAAAAAUGUAGGCCCAUCUUUUCUUAUAAAUGUGAGUUUUAAAAUCAUUAUCAAAGUGUUGAUGAAUAGGUUGAGCAAGGUGGUUGAUCCAAUCACUCACCUAGACGAACUUCCUUUAUUAGGGUUAGGUAUGUUAUGGAGGUGGCAGUAGUGCUGCAUGUGGUAGUUAAUAUGAUUCAUCAUACAAAAACAGAAUGCUCUCCCUUUCAGGGUAGAUUUUGAAAAAAAAGUCUAUUGUAAAAUAUAUUGGCCCUUUGUAGACCAAAUGUUAAAACUAAAAGGAUUCCUUGCUAAAUGAUAUGAUUGGGUCAUUAGUACUACGAGAGAUGGUCAUGUAGGGGUGAUGGUAAAUGAUGAUAUUUUCCCUUAUUGCGAAGCUCACAAAGGGUUGAGACAGGGAGACUCCUUGUCUCCUCUCCUUUUUGAUUUAGAAAGAAAUGCUUUAGCAAUUAUAAUGGAUAAAAAUCAAAGAAAUCCCAUCUUUGCUGCUAUUGAUAGGUUUUUCUCAUCCAUUGCUUGUGAUGCGCACUUUCCUUUGACCACCUUACAUGAGUGGGGAGUGAUCAUGCCCCCCUUUUGUUGGAUUCUGGGUGCAAUAAUAACAAGUUAAAUAGACCUUUUGAUUUGAAAAGUGGUGGUUGUCCCAAUGAGGUUUUAGUGAGUUGGUUGCUCAAAUUUCGACAAGUCCCUCCCCUUUUUCUAUAGCUACUGAUACCUAGAUUUUCAAAACCAAUCUGUUUAGAAAGAAAGUUAAAGGAUGCAGUAGCAAUAUUGAUGCAGCUAUCAAGAAAAAGAAAAAAGACUUGCUUACUAAAUUUGAUAUUCUUGAUGUGUUUUUUGAACAAAAUUUGUCUCAAAAGUCAAAAUAGGAUCUUAACAGAAUGAAAGAAAUUCGGGAUGAACUAAGGGAUAUUUGGAGACUGCCAUGUGGCAGAGAUCUAGUGAUAGAAAAAUCCUCGAAGGAGAUCAAAAUACAACCUAUUUUCGUGCUGUUCCAAAUCAAUGACAGAGAAAAAACCAUCUUGCCUUGUUAAUGGGUGAAGAUGGUCCUGUAACAACUGAUACUGAUAUGCUACAAGUAGCUACCAGCUUUUAUAAAAAAACUUUUUGAUUUUGAACGUAAACGUGGCAUACAUUCGGGGGAGGCCUUUUGGUCCGAGGAAGAUAAAAUUAAUUCCGAGGAGUUGGAAAAACCUUUUACUAAGGAUGAAAUUAAAAGUGCUAUAAUGGGUUCCUAUGCUUGUGGGGCACUAGGGCCAGAUGGUUUAUCUUAUUCUACCAAAACUUUUGGAUAUUAUCAACUAUGAUUUCAUGGCUGUUGUGAGGAAUUUUGAAAAUGGUUGCUUAGACUUGGUUCGCCCGAAUUAUGUCAUUGUCACCUUAAUUCCUAAGGAAGUACAUGCAAAAGAGAUGAAUUUUUUAGACCAAUUAGCUUGAGUAAUUUCUCCAUUAAGAUUUUAAGCAAAGCUUUGACUAAUAGGGUUUUUUCACUAGUAGGGUUUCCCCAAUUAGUGAUAGAGAACUAUCUUCCUGCCAACAUUCUUUUGUCAAAGGGAGAUAUAUUCUUGAAAGUGUUGUUACUGCCCAUGAAACAAUUCAUGAACUACAAUAGUCUAAACUUUCUGGGAUUGUCCUCAAAUUAUACCAUGAAAAAGCCUAUGACAGAGUAAAUUGGGGCUUCUUAGUAGAGAUGCUUUCUUCAAGGGUUUUGGGAACAAAGUGAUUAGUUGGGUGACCAGUACUAUUUAGAAUUGUUCUUGUUGUGUUAGAGUGAAUAUUCAAGUUGGCUCUCUUUUUGUUAGUGGUAUAGGCCUUAAACAAGGUGAUCAUCUUCCCCCCAUUAUUUUCAAUUUGGUAGCUCAUGUUUUUUUCCAUAAUGUUACUAAAAGCCUAUUUGAAUAACAUUAAUUCUAGGGUUAUCCCACAUGUUGUUUCUAGUGGGAUCAUUAGCCUACAAGCUGAUGAAACCUUGUUAUUUUUCGACCCUAGUAUUUAAAAUGCUAGAAAUGUUAAAUGGUUGCUAUCUUGCUUUGAGGGUUUAUCUGGGAUGAAGAUUAAUUUUUAAAAGUGAUUUGUUGACUAUCAACGUGGAAAAGGAGGUAUCCUCUGGUCUAGAGAGGGUGUUGGGUCCCCCUCUUGGAAAGGUUUUUCUUGGGCCUUAGCUGGAGUUAGACCUUUUUAUAAAUGGAAACUGGGAAAUGGGAGUAAAAUUUCCUUUUGGCAUGAUGUAUGGGUUGGAGACAUUUCCUUGAAAACCCAAUUCUAGAAUGUUUUUUAUUUGUGCCAACAACAAAUCUAUACUGUGUAACAGGUGUGGGAUUGGCAUACUUUGAAAAUGACUUUUAGGAGUGUGUUAAUGUUUUCUUUUUGGAACAGUGGAAUGCCUACUUUCCAUCCUUCACUAUACUCACCUCUCUGGUGAGUUGGAUGAACCUGUUUGGAGUCGAGAAGUUUCUGGCAAUUAUUCUACUAAGUCUUUUUAUAAACAAAUCAAUUGGGAUGGAUUUACUACUCCCAUUUGGGACAAGUUUUGGAAAAUCGAAGUGCGUCAUAGAUAUUUGGUCUUUGCAUGGUUAGUAAUACAUAACAAAAUUUUAACCAGGGACAACCUGAGUAAAAGGCAAAAUGUAGAGGAUGCCUCUUGCUUAUUUUGUAAUGAAUCAGAAACUGUUAACCAUUUGAUAUGUGAGUGCAUUGUAGCAAAAACAUCUGGCAAACUGUAUCUGAAGUAUUUGAUUUUACGGUUCCUAUCCAUGUUACUGAAUUUCCUCCCCUAUGGGACUAUAAUAAUAAUAAGAGUAUUAUUGGCAUUAUAGUUAUGACUACCAUGUGGAGCUUAUGGACAACUCAUAGUGAUAUCUAUUUUCAGGGAGCUGUCUGGUGGGGUACCCGGAUUAUUCUGGGGGAAAUCAGCAAGCUACUACUUCGCUGGUUCAUUCUGUGCCCGGAGGAACAAACAUAGGUGAUGAAGCAAUGUCUGGACAGAAAAAGAGGUGAGCUCCUAAGGAUUGCCUGGCGAGGGGAAAUAAAUGUGAUGCGGGACAUGACAAGCUAGGCUUCUAUAUGAGGGCUCAUUCUCACUAGGGGGUGUGCGUCUUAUGGUAGUCUUCUAGUCUUGUUGAACCUCCUGCCUAACUAUUCCGGCACCUAUGCUAGCUCUCUUAGCACUUUCGUUGAACUUGUAGCUAUGUUUGGUUCAACUACUCUAGCUGUUGGUUGAGCGCUGUGAACAAGAUCUGGUCGUUGUUUUGCCUCGUUUUAAUAAAAUGAUGAGGGGGAAAACCCCUUUUCGUAAAAUAAAAUAAAAUGGAUAGAGCCAGCAACAUAGGAUAGUUGAAGGGGUUCUAUAACUAACUGUGGAAUAUGUUGUAACAUUAUAAUAUGUAGAUGAUAGAAUUUUUUUGCCUCGAGAUGAUGAAUUGAAUGCAAAAAGAUGAAAUUUAUCUUAUGUGCCUUUGAACAAAUGACAUGGCCUACAAUAAGUUUCCAGACAAGUAAGGUUUACCUAUUUGCAGAAGCCACUAAUAAGUUGAAAUCUACCAGGAUAUAUUUACUUGCAAAUUGGUUGAGGUGCCUUUGAAAUAUCCGGGCAUUCCUACCUCUGAUGUGUGGAUAAGCAACAAACACCGGAAAGAGGUAGGAAAUAAAAUAGAGAAGAUAUUGUGCCCGUUUGCAAGGGGAAAUUGUUCAGUAUUGUUGGGAGGCUGGUGUUGGUGCAAGCUAGCUUGAGUAAUAUACCAUUAUACAUGAUGUCCUUCUAUCCCAUUCUUGUUGGGGUAUGAAGAGAGCUUAUUUCUUUAGAGAUAGAUUUGUUUGACAAGGAGAUGCGGAUAAGAAGAAAUAUCACCUGGUUAAUUGGAAAUAUGUUUGUAGACCAAAAGAAUAGGGAGGUUUGGGGGUUCCGAAUUUGGAGUUUAUGAGCAAAGCUUUGAUGGCAAAGUGGUUUUGGAAGCUAGAGACUGAAGAAGGUUUAUAGCAAUAUGUGAAAUACAUAUGUAAAAAUAAGUGCUUGUUUGGAAUCAAAGCCAAGGGGGGGAUUCUCAAUUUUGAUCUAAUUUGGUGAAAUUUUUUGUUGGUAUUGCUGCCAUCUUAUCUGUGAGCCGCCCUCACUGGCAUACGAUGGCGUCAUUAGUGACCUUGUAAUGGCUUGAGGUUACCCACCUCGAAGCUGGACGAGACAGAGUAGCGCUGCUCCUAGGAUCUUAUAUUCGGGAUUUGGCCAUCAUCUUUCACGGUUGGACCAGUCUGUGGUGGAGGACAAAGUUGUCAUGGGAAAAGUAGGAUGGGGAUACCACACAUACCCAAGUAGCCAUUCCCCAUGCGAGUCCAUUCCCACCCGCCACCCGCAAGAAGGCAAAGAUUUGGUGGAUGACAUAUGUAAAGUUAAAAGCUAGAAAUGUUUACAUCCCAGAUUUUGUUUUGCCGUCAAAAGGCCGGAGGGGCUAGGAGUGUCUCGGAAGUGUGUUUAAACAUUUUUUUUGCGGUUAAGAAAAGUGCAAACUACAUUACGCAAAAUGUAGUAUGAUGUUGUUUCCACUUCCCACUACCAGAAUAAAGGGUGGGAAAAAAUCAUUGUGGCUUGCUUAGAGCAUCUACAACCGAACCCCAUAUCCGCCCAAAUGCCCGCCUGCCUAGUCACUGUAUAGACGAGAAAUUGUCACACAACCAGACGCCCCAUAUUCGGCCCAAAUGUCCGGACUGACGGGCAACCCCAUAUUCAGCCCAUAUGGGGGUGGAUAUAGGGACGCCCGGACGCGUCCACCAUGUCGGAUUUGACCCACUCUGGCCCACCCGACCCCACAUAAAUUGGAUCCUAUCCACACUCCGGAUGAACCCUAGCCGCAUUCCACUCCCCUCCCCUACCCUCCAAUCCACUCCCCUCUGGCCACAUGCUCCUGUCCGGUGAUCUCCCACCUUCUCUAGCAUCGCGGGUAGUGGAGGCGAGUCCUACAACUCCAGAUCCGUUGACCCGAAACUCGUCCCACGCGGACCCGAGGAGGAGAUUGCCUUCCGCCUUGCUCCGCACCGCUCCCGGGAGGAGGCUUGCCGACGGUAGCAGUCAGACUACUUCGCCAGGAAUCCAUUGCGUCCACCCAAAUGGCGCAUGGAUCUGGCGCGAGGUGUGCCGCCGCUGCCUCACCGGAGGCAGUGCAGUCCGUCUGGUGUCCAAACGUGGUGGCGGAUGCGCAACCGCUUUAUUGGCACGCCGAGGCAAGUAUGUCACAUCGUGGCGCCGUGCAAGGCAGCGGGUGCGGGAGGUGCCGGCAGCCCUCACGGCGGACAUUGGCAAGGCGGAGCCGCACUCUUUUUUUUUUGCGGGGCCGCACUCUCUGACGCCACGUAUGAUGCACAGACUAAUAGUAUAUGUAAUCUCAAAUAAUAAAGUAAUAGCAUCCUCACUUUGUUUGUGAGGUUAAUAGUAUCCUCAUCUAACACAGACUUAAAAGAAGAUCUCUCCAGUUCCACUUCCUUUUAAUCGAAGGCCGCUCCGCCUGUCGCACUAUCCUUGGGAGAUGCGCAGAUCCAUCGUACUCCCUCCAAAUCAUAUAUUAGUCAGACACGUUAGGUCUUUAAUUUGACUAAUAAAACCUUUAUAAUAUGCCACACAAAUUAUAUGAUCCGAAACUAUAUUUGGCAAUGAAUCUAAAGAUAUAUUUUAUUCAUAAAAUAUAAUACAUGUUUUCCUAGUUAGAUCGAAGAACUCUAAACCUGUGCCCGACUUAUAAACCGAACCAGAGGGAGCAGUUGUUUUUAGGUGGAUGACAUAUGUAAGAUUAAUGACUAGAAAUGCUUAAUCCCAACUUUCAUUUUGCCGCGAAAGGGCCAUAGGAGCUAGGAACGUCUCGAAAAUGUAGUACACACAUUUUUUGCGGUUAUGAAAAGUGUUAAGUACAUUACCCAAAAUGUAGUAUAAUGUUGUUUCCACUUUACACUACUAUAAUAAAGGGUGAAAAAAAAUCAUUGUGGCUUGCUUAGAGCAUCUACAACCAGACCCCAUAUCCGCCCCAAACGCCGGUUCCCUAGUCACUGUCUAGACGAGAGAUUGUCACCCAACCGGGCGUCCCAUAUUCGGCCCAAACUUUCGAACUACCUGGAGCUUGUCCUACACGGCCUCAAAGAGGAGAUUGCCUUCCGCCUUACUCUGGCCGCUCCUGGGAGGAGGCUGGCCGACGGUAGCGGUCAGACUACUUCUGCCAGGAAUUCAUUGCAUUCGUCCAAAUGGCGCAUGGAUCUGGCGCGAGGCGUGCCGCCACUGCCUCAUCGAAGGCAUUGCAGUCCGUCUGUCGUGCAAAUGCGGUGGCGAAUGCGCAACCGCUUCAUUGGCGCGUGUAGGCAAGUAUGGCACGUCGUGCCCGCCAUGCAAGGCAACGGAUGCGGCAGGCGCCGGCAGCCCUCUCGACUUACGUUGGCAAGGCAGAGACACACUCUCCGACUCCGCAUAUGGUGCACAGACUAAUGGUACAAGUAGUCUCAAAUAAUUAACUAAUAGCACCCUCAUCUUUUUUCCGAGGUUAAUAGUAUCCUCAUCUAACACGGACUUAAAAGAAGAGGUCUCCAGUUCCACUUCCUUUUAAUCGAAGGCCGUUCCGCCUGUCGCACUAUCUUUGGGAGUUGCGCGGAUCCAUCGUAUUCCCUACAGAUCGUAUAUUAGUCAGACAUGGAUUUUUAGGUCUUCAAUUUGACUAAUAAAACCUGUAUACUAUGCUACACAGAUUAUAUGAUCCGAAACUAUGGCCCAGUUCUUUUGAGCAGAUUAUGAAGAAUCUCGGUCCCGAAAAUCCCGGGCGAAAGAAGAACUUCCAAAAUCGCAACCGGAUUCUGCAGAAGCCUAGUGCAAUCCAAAAUCCCAAAAUACCCGGUUUCUCCCACAAUCUCAGAAUUCUGGCUAGUCCUAUAAAAAAAACGUUUCCAAGUAUAGCUGUACCCCUAUUGUAUCACAUAUCUACGGUCGAAAUGCCACCCCGCAGUCCAGCCCAGGACCCCGAAAACGAGCGGACGCACCCGACCGCUCGCUCAUCUCCCAGUUCCCGCACCGCAUCGGGGCAGCGGACCUUCGAGCCGCCCCCACCCCCACCGGCCAGCCUCCCUUGCCCGGUCCGCCCCGCCCUCCCCGCCCGGCAGUUCGCCCCGCCCCGUCAGCUUCGGGGCAGCGGCUAGGGUUGCCGCGCCGCCGCCGGCCAGGCCAAGCCGUCUCCGCCCCCGCCGGCCAGCUUCCAUCCUCAGCUCCUCGCCCCUCAGUCCGCCCUGGCCCUCAGCCCCGUCCCGCAAAGUUCGACGCCGACGCUCACGGUGAGCCCUCCUUUUUGCAUCUCUUUGUUUCUUCAUGCUUGAAUUGAUGCUAGCUAUUGUUGAUAGAUAAAAUACAUUUCAUCAAACAAAUUCUGUCUAAGGGUAGUACAGACAUUUCAACACACAAAACUUUCUAGAAUCUCAAACUACAAUCUUUGAAAAGAACUCGAUGACAGAUUCUGAAAGAAUUUUCCAGAAUCCUGAUUCUGUAGAAUCUUGCCUGAAAAGAACUGGCCCAUUUGACAAUGAAUCUAAAGAUAUAUUUUCUUCAUAAAAUAUAAUACAUGUUUUCCUAGUUAGAUCGGAGAACUCUAAACCUGUGCUUGACUUAUAAACCAAACCGGUGGGAGGAGUAGUUUUUAGGUGGAUGACAUAUGUAAGAUUAAAGACCAGAAAUGCUUAGAUCCCAUUUUUGUUUUGGCGUGAAGAGACCGGAGGAGCUAGGAGCGUCUCGGAAAUGUAGUUUACGCAUUCUUUUGCGGUUAAGAAAAGUGUAAACUACAUUACCUAAAAUGUAGUAUAAUACCGUUUCCACUUUCCACUACCAUAAUAAAGGGUGGGAUUUUUUUUAUUGUGGCUUGCUUAGAGCAUCUACAACCGGACCCCAUAUCCGCCACAAACGCCCCUGCCUAGUCACUAUCUAGACGAGAAAUUGUCACCCAACCGCGCCCCAUAUUCAGUCCAAACGUCCGGACUGACCUACAACCCCAUAUUCAGCCAAUAUGUGGGGCGGAUAUAGGGACGCCCGGACGCACCCAUCAUGUCGGAUCCGACCCACUCUGGCCCAUCCGACCUCACAUAAAUUGGUUCCUAUCCGCACUCCGGACGAACCCUAGCCACAUUCCACUCCACUCCCCUCCAAUCCACUCCCCUCCGGCCACAAAUUCUCGUCCGACGAUCUCCCACCUUCUUUGGCAUGGGGGUCAGCGGAUGCGAGUCCUACACCUCCAGAUCCGUUGACCCGGAGCUCGUCCCACGUGGCCCCGAGGAGGAGAUUGCCUUCUGCCUUGCUCUACCCCGCUCCCGGGAGGAGGCUGGCCGACGGCAGCGGUCGGACUCCUUCCGCCAGGAAUCAAUUGCGUCCGUCCAAAUGGCGCAUGGAUCUGGCGCGAGGCGUGCCGCCGCUACCUCACCGGAGGCAGUGCAGUCCGUUUAGCGUUCGAACGCGGUGGCGGAUCUACAACCACUUCAUUGGCGCGCCGAGGCAAGUAUGGCACGCCGUGCCCGCCGUGCAAGGCACCAAGCGCGGGAGGCGCUGGCAGCCCUCCCAGCGGACAUUGGCGAGGCGGAGUCACACUCUCCGACGCCGCGUAUGGUGCACGUCCGCCAUAGGCGCCGCAACUGCAUUGUGAUGGACGUGGUCGGCUCCGACCUCAUGGCUCCAGAAUAGAACCCGUAAACCACCCCAACCCGUAAACAAUUUUAAGGGGCACCGCAAACAUCGCGGCCGAACCCGUGAAAAUAAGGAUUUCGGAGAUGACCCGAGGACGACCUGUAUACGUGAAAGACCGUUGGUGGGAGUCCAACUGCCAGCGGAAACUUCAUGGCUCGCUCCCUUCCGCCCGUCCCCAGCCGCAACGCCGGCCCUCACUGCCGCGCCCGCCAGCCAUCCGGCCCGUCCGCCAAGCCCGCCGGCCGUCCGCCGCUCUGGCCCGCGGUUCUCUCGACGAGGAGCUAGCUAGCUAGCUAGCCAGCCGAAUCGAUUCGAAUGGAUCAGCUAGCUAGCUAGCUAGCAGCUCAAUGGAUGCGCGUGUAGCUAGCGAAUGGAGGAGUUCGGCCGCCGCCCGCGCUGCCCGGCGGCCUUGGCCUCCGCCCGCGCGCUGCGGCCGUCUGCUGCUGCAGUCGGCAUUGCUGCUGGCCCCGGCCCGGUCGCGCUCGCUGGCGAGCACGAGGAGACGGUCGCGGAGGCAGGAGGCGCACACGGCGAGAGGACGAAGGUCGAGGUGGGAAGGGCGUGAGGAAGAAGAUGGUAUAUUUAGAGAAUAUUCUCUUUUACGGGUUGAUUAUACGGGUUCUGUUCGGCCGCAGUUAAAAUCAACCCUUAUAAUCCGUUUUCCUCAGCCCGUAAAACACUUAUGCGGGCCAUGGUUUUGCGGGGUCUGCUAGAGUUGCUCUAACAAAGUCGGUUUUUUAGGGAAGACCAUUAUGGCUAGCUUUAUUAAUAACCUUAUCAUUAAGCAAUGCUUUACAUGGUUUGCGAGGGUACCUAGUAAAAACUUGGAAGGAUCAUGGUCGCAGGUACAGGACGGUUUAUAAUUAUAAAAAAACAGUUUGCACAUUCGUUUCCAUUUUUGCAAGGCUCUACAACAUGUCUCUGAACCCGUGGUUCCCAUCGGCCCAUGUCGACGCAGCAAAGGCAGGCAGGCAGGCAAGGAAGAAGAAUGUAAACCUUCUCCUUUCCGUCAAAGUUCGUCAGCUAGCGUAGGAGUGAAGCUGCGAGGAAUCCCGGCGCGUCGCCCGCUUUUGCCCCCAGGUUGGUUGCCCGAGUUGGGCAGACAAACCCAAUUCUGUUCCGCACGCACAGUCCUCCCUGCGUUCCCUGCGUUCCUCAGCAGCGUUGAGGCGUAAAUUUGAACCGCAAAUGCGCCGACCCAAACGGGCGCAGGCGGACAAAAUGGGUCGGCCCUUUGCAGUUGCUCUUCCGCACGCACAGUCCGCCCUGCGUUCCCUAGCAGUACUAGUACUGUUUUUUUUUCUUCUUCAGAUUUUUUCAUUUCCAUGCACGGAGAAAAUAUCAGGAGCGAGCGAGCGUCAGCUGGUGGGCCGCAGCGUGGGGCCGCUGCCACGAACGGGUUGCGUUAUAUAUAAGCGGAGGGGAACAGUACAACCAUCGACCAUCUCCGGCUCGCUCGUCGCCCACCCCACCCUCUCUCAUCCUCCCUCCCCCCGGACCGAAUUUGACGACUCCUUUGACCUCUCNNNNNNNNNNNNNNNNNNNNNNNNNNNNNNNNNNNNNNNNNNNNNNNNNNNNNNNNNNNNNNNNNNNNNNNNNNNNNNNNNNNNNNNNNNNNNNNNNNNNNNNNNNNNNNNNNNNNNNNNNNNNNNNNNNNNNNNNNNNNNNNNNNNNNNNNNNNNNNNNNNNNNNNNNNNNNNNNNNNNNNNNNNNNNNNNNNNNNNNNNNNNNNNNNNNNNNNNNNNNNNNNNNNNNNNNNNNNNNNNNNNNNNNNNNNNNNNNNNNNNNNNNNNNNNNNNNNNNNNNNNNNNNNNNNNNNNNNNNNNNNNNNNNNNNNNNNNNNNNNNNNNNNNNNNNNNNNNNNNNNNNNNNNNNNNNNNNNNNNNNNNNNNNNNNNNNNNNNNNNNNNNNNNNNNNNNNNNNNNNNNNNNNNNNNNNNNNNNNNNNNNNNNNNNNNNNNNNNNNNNNNNNNNNNNNNNNNNNNNNNNNNNNNNNNNNUUCCAUGGCCAACAGCAACCUCCCCCGCCGGAUCAUCAAGGUGCGUGCGAUUCCGAUCGCCCCCUCCCGCCCGCCAGAUCUGUCCUCCGUUUCGCUUGUAAUCCGUCCGCGCCGCGCGCCUAACCCUUUCCGAAUUUGGAUCUGCCCCUGCAGGAGACGCAGCGGCUGCUCAGCGAGCCAGGUUUGUUCUUCUUCUCGCACAGAGAGAAUUCCGGUCGAUUUCGGCGCCCCCCCCCGGUGUCUGUUGUUCUGAUUCGUGUGUGUGUGUGUCGAUCCGUGCAGCGCCGGGGAUCAGCGCCUCACCGUCGGAGGAGAACAUGCGCUACUUCAAUGUCAUGGUCCUUGGCCCCGCGCAGUCUCCCUACGAAGGCAUGAUACAUAUGCCUUUUUUUCUUCCAUAUAAUAUAUCGUUUGUUUCCCCUGCUGAAAUAGCGUGUCUACCAGUAUCUAUGUGCUCUCCAUCCUGCAAUGCUAUGGGGCUACGGAUGUAUAGUGUCUGGUCUUCCUGGACUGCAAUUGUUGUUGCUGUACUCUGAUUACUUGUAUUAUUAUGCAUCUGUUUGUGGCCUUUAUAUGUGCUAUCUUCCGCUUGUAAAAAUUUCUGCAGAUGUGUUGUAAAACAGCAUGGAUGGUAAUGCUACCAGUAUGAUCACCUAGGGGCGUUGCUCUAGUGCCACGGCUGCUGUACGCCUGUAAACUUAUCUUGUCUGAGUACCGAAUAGCUUAUAGCACUAGUGUCGCCAUCAUGUGCUGGUUCAAUUCCAUUUUGUUUUGAUUCAUCCUGGUGCUUUCCAUUCUUCCAGUGUCCUUGUAAGAAAAGCUUACAUAUCCGUUGUAAGAAAGGUUACACAUCCAUGUUGAGCUUGCACUUUAUUGGUUAUACGCCAAAGUAGCUUUACAUAACCAUUGGGGUUGUAGAUGGUUGGCACAUAGGACUGCAUGAACCUGCUUUCUAUCUGCACUACAAGUUAUGCCACAUAGGAAGACCACCCUUUGCAUUUACGCCUGCUAUAUGUGUACUCAUGAUAUGUGUGACAAGUUUUGACUCCUUCAUGCUAGAUCUAUGACAUUGACAUAUUAAUCUUAGAUACUAAAUGUUGCGUGUAACUAAUAAAUGGCAGAAAUAACACCUUGUUUUCUAUUGUCGGAUGGUUGGAGAGUACCAUUUGUCACUUUACUGCUUAAGCUUAUGAUGUGCUCUAAUUUUAAUGGCCUCACUUUUAUGGCAAGCCACAAGUUGUCUAAAGCUUAGCUGUGGCAUAACUUGUAAUGCUAUGGGGGUACACGGAUGUAAUAGUGUUGGUGUUCCUUCCUUGACCGCAAUUUUCGUUGCUGUAUUCUGAUUACCUGUAUUAUCUAGUAUCUGUUUGUGGCCUUUCUAUGUGCUAUAUUCUGCUUGUAAAAUUUUCUGCAGAUGUGUUGUAAACCAGCAUAGAUGGUAAUACUAGCAGUAUGAUCACCUAGAGGCGUUGCUCUAGUGAUGCCGCAGCUGUACACCUGUAAACUUAUCUUGUCUGAGUAGUGGAUGGAGCAGCAGGGUCACCAUCAUGUGCCUGGGUUAACUCCAUUUUUCUUUGGUUCAUCCUGGUGGUUGUUGUGCUCGUAGUGUGCUUAUAAGAAAAGUUUACAUAUCCAUUGUAAGAAGAUGACGUAUACAUAUUGCGCUUUGUUUUUUAUGCACCAAAAUAGAUUUACAUAUCCAGUCUGGACGGUUGUCACAUAGGACUGCAUGAGCUCUAUUGAACCUGCUUUCUACUUGUACAAGUCAUGCCACAUCGGAAGAUUGCCUUUUGCAUUUACGCUUGCUAUAAGUGUAGUUGUGAUAUGUGAGACAAGUUUUGACUCUUUCAUGCUAGAUCUAUGACAAUGUUAUAUUAAUCAAUUAGCCCGUGGAAAUUGACCAUAUCGGUAUUAUGAAUGUUACAUGUGUAAUUAAUGAAUGGCAGAAAUAACAUCUUGCUUUCUAUUGUUGGAUGGAGAGUACCAUUUGUCACUUAACUGCUUAAGCUUAUGGCGCGCUCUAAUUUUAAUGGUGACACUCUUAUGGCAAGCCACAAAUUGUCUAAGCUUAGCUGUGGCAAAACUAGCCUUGAAAACAUGUCCUUAGUUCACUUGUCUUGCCACUUGGUACGUUAUAUCUGAUUAUGUUAGGCAUUUUUAUUGGGGCAAACAUUCUUUUCCUUAUUUGUCUAUAUCUGGUGUCCUGAUUUUGUUUCUUCUGCCAUGUCUUGGACAGGUGGAGUCUUCAAGCUUGAACUUUUCUUACCCGAGGAAUAUCCGAUGGCUGCUCCUAAAGUAAACUUUUAUUUAUCGAGAAUAAGUUAGUUUUGGUUUAAAGAGCUAUUAGUUGAAACUUAAUAGUACUGUGAUGGAUCAUGGAUGUGCUUGUCUUGGUGAAGUCCUUGAUGUAAAUUUCGGUUGUUCCAUAGUCGUCAUUGCGAAUCACUAUUUUCAAAAUCUAUCACGGUGAUCUUGGCAAAGUUUGUAUGGCACUAAAAUUUGAUAAUAGGAAUGGGCUGCCAUCUCGUUGUCCUUUCCCUGGUCUCCUUCUUAUUUAUGCCUGUGGCUAAUUGAACUGAGCACAUUGUUUCUGUCGUAGUAAAGAACUCUGAGCACAUUAUUUCUGUUGUAGUAAAGAACUAUGCUGCAUAGUUAUUCCAACAACCAUAAUACACAAUGAAGUUGGAAUGUAACAUCACUAUGCGAAUCUUCCUGCUAUGUUUCUACCUUGUUUCAUUCAUGUAUGUUAUUUACAUCUGUUGCGUGGUGCCAUUGUUUGUUCUUGAGAUGUUCUAUUCUUUGACUUGCACACCAUCAUGGUGACCAGGAAUACGGCGAUAGUCAGUAGUAGCAUCCUGCUAAUUCUUGUAAUAUCAAUACCAGUAAAUUUGUCUUUCUGUUCACUUCGUUCAUCCUCUGUACAGUGUUCAACACUUUACUUAUUUGGCAGUGUUAUAUGGAACUCUCUGUACAUGUGAAUCAUAAUAUAACGAGUAACAUCCCAGAAUGCCAGUUGCUAUCAUGUUAAAUAAGAGGUACCCGUGUAGCUGAGAAUCUAGUUGUGGUUUGCGAAGUAUGUCUCUUUUCUGCAAUACUUUUCUAUUUGUUGUCACUGUUGUGUGAGGCUUUCUGAUGGACAUCGUUCUUUGGUUGUUCCUGAUGCAGGUUAGGUUUCUCACAAAAAUAUACCAUCCCAACAUUGACAAGGUAUGCAACUGAUAUUAUUAGCGGAACAUCAUUUUGAAAAAGAGCGUCUCAUUUCUGAUGGAUGUAAACUGCAGCUUGGUAGAAUAUGCCUCGACAUCCUAAAGGACAAGUGGAGUCCAGCUCUUCAGAUACGCACUGUUCUUCUGAGGUAACCACUGCUGACUUCCAUUGCACCUUUGCCAAGUACUCCAUCCGUCCCAUAAUGUAUGACGUUUUUUGACAUUAUGGGACGGAGGGAGUAGUUUUGUGGUAGUUGACAUAUCAUGCCUUCAUGGUAAAUAUCAUACUAUCGUAUUUCCAGAGGGAUGUUUCUGGUAUUUCUAUUGUCGACGAUGUUAGUGUACUACUUCACUGCCACUUGACAAUAUUUCGUCUGCAGCAUUCAGGCACUGCUGAGCGCCCCAAACCCAGAUGAUCCUCUCUCAGAAAACGUCGCAAAACACUGGAAAUCCAAUGAAGCUGAAGCUGUUGAGACAGGUACGUGGAGACGCUGUCAACAAAGUUACACGCUGAAACUGUGUUUUAUGCUCCACUAUCCAUUUUCUGGAUACCCACCUGACAUGCCGUUUUCCUCCAUUUCUGAUUUUCGUGAUAUCUUACCAUAUCAUUUCUGCACUUUGCAGCGAAGGAAUGGACUCGUAUGUAUGCCAGUGGCGCAUGACAAGCUAACGCUGUUAUGGAUGUAAUAACACUGUGUCAUAGUUGGGCCUAAUCGAAAACCAUUUGCUUGAUAAAAACACACUUGAAAUGAUUUGCGAUGGACGAAUGUAUCCAGAGCGGCAUCAUUUCUUGUUGGUGGUUGUAUUUGUGGUGCGUGUUCUGGCACGCUUCAUAACUUGCUGCUUAUAGAACACGCUCUGUUUCUCGUUCAUCCUCAAUUGUUUCUCCAAUUAAAAAUAUCUGUUGUGAUCCGGUAUGUAAGCUCUCCAAAUGAAAUAGUGGCUCUCUGUAUUUCUCCCCCAAACACCUCUGAUGAUUUGGUUUUCUUUUGGAUUUUUUUAGUAAUGUUCAAUUUUUUUUUCAAUCUCCAGCUGCUUUGGUUACUUUUUUUUCCCCUUUUUGGUAAGUUGAACUGAACAUACUUAUGAUUUUCCAAAUCAAAUGGUUAAUGUAUGAAUCUUGAUGAGUAAGAUUGGUUCUGAGUGAGGUAAGGUGGGGAGUGGGGGAGCUCCUAUGCAGCGCUGCUACCAUGGGCCGAUCCACUAGCGUGCUGCCCCAGUUUUAUUUGAUUUUUUUGUUACGAAAAUAAAAAUAUGAAAUCAAAAAAGGUUUACAGAUUUAAAGAAAAAAGGUUCUCCAUUUGAAAAAAAGUUCAUAUCUUUAAAAAAGGUUCAUCAAUUUUGAAACAAGUUUGUCAAUUUGGAAAAAAGAUCAUUCAAAUUGAAAAAAAAGUUCAUCCAAUUUAGCAAAAGUUCAUUAGAUUUGAAAAAUGUUCAUAGAAAUUCAAAAAAAGUUCAUGUAUUUUUAGAAAAAGGUCAUUGAACUGAAAAAAAGUUCAUAAAUAAAAAAAAGUUCAUGCAUUUUCAAAAAGAUGUUCAUCAAAUUUCAAAAAAGUUCAUCGAUAUUCGAAAAAGUUCAUCAAUCUGAAAGAAACCUGUUGAAAUUUUUAAGAAGUUCAUAGAAUUUUCAAAAAAGAAAAUGUCAACCCGCGCCUAGAUGGGCCGGCCCAUUUACGGACGCCACAUGCGCCAGUUAACGAAAAUGCUUGGAUUUUAUCAAUAAAUAUUCAUAAAUUUAAAACAAGUCCGGUUUUCUUAGAAAAAUUGAUUUCUGAAAAAACUAUUUGGACUUCAUACCAAAAUGUUCAGAUUAUUUUAAAUAAUCAUAAUAGGUUUAAAUAGCGUUCACAGUUUUAGAAAAUGUUCUUUUUAAAAAUAUUUCACAAAUAGUUCUCAAUUUUUGAAAAAACUUUUUUGAAAGAAAAUAAUACAGAGAAAAAAAGGAAAAAAAACUUGCUAUUGUAAGGGCCAGCCCAGUCGGACGCACCCUGUUUGAUUGGCAUAUGUAUAGAUUGGGUUUAAUAUUAUUGAAUAUGUAGUCAUUGCUAGUGAACGUUCGGCAAACAAGGAUGCAAGUCUCAAGGAAAAACAAAUGCAUCUUCAAAUGGAGACCGCCGGGGUUUGACUAAAUGGUGGCCGCACAUAUAAGGGCGCUCCAUAUGGGUCGACCCCAUUGAGUGUGUCGCACGGUUCGCCUUACCCAACGAAACCUAGGGUCUUUUCACGAUUUUCUCUUCGGUUUUAGGUUUUUAGCCAGUUCUAGUUAGUUUUCUGUGUCUAUUUUUUAAAUGUGUUCUGAAAAGAAAAUCACAAAUGAAAAAAGAGAUAGGAAGGGUGAUGCCCGAGCAUCAAAGAAGAGUUGAAAUGCACGCUAGAAACCUCUAUCUGUUUUGCAUCUCAACUUUGGUGAUGUUUAUAUAUAUAUAUGCAACAAACCUAACUAGCACUAAGUUAUAUGCAAAGAAAUGUUAUUCUAUUUAUUAUUAUUUUAUUCUCUAGAGACACUGAAUAUACCUCUCCCACCCCCACCAAUGCAAAGAGGCAAUAUCUAAAAAACAACUAACAUGUUUUUGGUUUGCAAUAAUAUUUUUCUGUUUAGCAUUUAUUUUUAGUAUGUUACUUUUUUUUUUUCAUAGUUUCCUGCAUUUAUUAUAUUCUAACCUUUUAGUCUAACAAGAACUUCUAAUAGUUUAAAGCGCAUGUUGAGUGAUUGGGUCAUAAAAAGUAAAUAAAAUAAAAUAAAAUAAUGCAAAUACAUGAUAGUCGUUUGUUAAUUCAGUAUCUAACAUGUUAUUUGAGAAACUCAAUCGAUUACCACGGAGUAGAGUAUCUAAACCUAGUGGCAGAGUUAGUUAUAAAGUCUUGAGUCAUUACAUCUUCCCAUUACAUGCACAUGUAUGAUUUAAGACUUUAUAACCCCGCCAUUUAUAACUAACUCUGCCACUAGCUUUAGAUACUCUUUACACAAGAAAGACUAUGACCCAUAUUAUUAUUUUUUACUAUCUGAGGUGGUACUAUGCGCACUCCUUCAAAUUAAUUAGAUGGGCCUUGCAUGCACGGUUAUUUCAUACGUACGUACGUCCCAGCCCAUGAGGGAGCAGGCAGAAGAGAAAACAAUCCCAAAUUAAUUUGAUGGCCCUCGAUUUCCUACGUACGUCCAUCCUGGCCCACGAGAGACCAGUCAACCCGAACUCGGGUUCUUCCUCUGUAAUAGCGAAAUCACUAGUUGAGGAAUACUCAUUGCAAAGAUCACUCCAACUCCACAUGUUGCGACAAGUGGCGCACAUGCAGCGCGCCACUUGUUGCAACCUGGAAGUUUCCUUUUUUUCAUAGAUCCGUUUAUUCAAAACGUUUUAUCUCUCAAACCGUGCGUCCAAAUCUCAAACAGCUUUCACCGUUGGUUUCCUCGCGUCGAGAUCUUCAAAACUAGAACCCAUGUUGAUAGGUUUUGACGAACUUUUUUCCACGAAAAAACCCGGAUCGGGAGCACGAGUUUUUUCCCUUCCGAAAGAGGCACGCCCGUGCCUCUCACAAAAUCACAACCGUGCCUCUCGCGGAAGCAAAACCGUGACUCUCGCAGAAGGAAAAAAGAAGAAGAAAAAACGCGUUUUUUUCCGUUUUCGAGGAGGCACGGCCGUGACUCUCGCGAAAGCACACUCGUGCCUCUCGCGGAAGCAAAACCGUGACUCUCGCGAAAGUAAAAUAAAACAGAAAACGUGUUUUUUUUCGUUUCCGAGAGGCACGGCCGUGCCUCUCGCACAAGCAAAACCGUGACUCUCGCGAAAGGAAAAAAAUGUGUUUCGGUUUCUGAGAGGCACGGCCAUGACUCUCGCGAAAGCACAAACAUGCCUCUCGCGGAAGCAAAACCGUGACUCUCGUGAAAGAAAAAAAAACAAAAAAAGCGUUUUUUCCCGUUUCCGAGAGGUUUUUCGCGCAAACAUUUUUUUUGGGUCGAAAAGCUAAGGAUGACCGGUGGAAAACCAAAACGUCGAAAAAACCCGUUUAAAUAGCCGAAAACGCGUGCGAAAAAAAAAUCCGGAGGGAGCGCCCAGAGCGCGACACGUGGCGAAUGGCUGAGAGCGCGCCAAGUGACGCUGGUCGUUGCGAGGCUCCUGAAGGAGCGCUCGUUAACUAGUGGCUCCCCUAGAAUAGGCGCGCAACAACCACUAAAGCCGGUAAGUGUUCUUGUUUGUUAAGCAGCGCUACAGUUUAAAACUAUCUAUAUUCGUCGCCCUGUUUUUUUCCUUUUUUAUUUUCCUUCCUUUAUUUUUCUUUUCAAUUUAUUCAUUUACACUCUUUAUUUUUUUGCCUUUUUAAGUUUUUUUUAUUUUCAAAAAAAAUGCUCACGCUUUUCAAAUUUUGUUCAAAACUUCAGAAAAGUUCUAUUUUUCAGAAUUCCUUCAUAAAUUUUCAAAAUAUUCGGAUUCCAAAAAUGGUAUGAGAAUUUCUAAAAAAAGUUCAUCUCUUUGCAAAAUUGUUCAGAAUGUCAAAACUCAAUUAUUUUUUAAAAUCAUGAAUAACAUUUUGAAAACUAAUUUUUUGAACAUUGUUUAGAAGACCAAAAUUGGAAUUUCAAACAUUUUUCAAAAAGGUGAAAAUAAUUUGAAACCAGAAAAGUUGUUGAAUUUGCCUGAACAUUUUUUAUUUGUGAUUUUUUAAUACAUGCAAUUUUCUGAAAAUUCCUAUAAUUAUUUGAAAUAGUGAACAUGAUUUGAAAUUGCCGCUUUUUGAAUUUAUAAUUCUUUUGGACAAGGGAACUUUUUGAGUUUGUGAAAAAAAAUUGUGAAGACUAUAAUAUUUUUGAUAUUAUGAAAAGAAUUUUGAAAUCGUAAACAUUUUUGAAAUUCCUGAACAUUUUUGAAGCGCAAAUAUUUUUUAAAUUUGUGAACAAAUUUUGAAAAUCAAGAAAUUAAAGGCAUGGUUGCACGCUCCAAUCAAGGAGGAUCAUGCAAAACGGAUGCUGAAAGGAGGGAGGAGGGACACUAGCAUGAGAAAACCCAUGAGUGAUUGUGUUUUCUCAUGCCAAUAAGGGGGAAUCUAAAUAGCACACUUAACUAAAAGGAGGGACUCAGCCAAUAAGGGGCCAUCUGAAGAGCACGCGCAUCGCUUGCUCGAUACAAAAAUAAAUGCACUUUAGUUGAUUAUUUCAGUUAUGAAGUUUGAAAAUUAUUCUAACUUUAAUAGUGAGCUAUGCAAAUCCUUUUUUCUGGUAAAUUCAAUAAAAAAUAUAUGGAUAAACCACAUUGCAUUACACAAAUAAACCGCAUUGACAGAGUAAUACACUAAUGUGCUAUUUAUCAAUUACCGUUCCUCAUCAUCUCAGAAAGAAUUCGACCAUGAUACAAUGCAAGAUGCUCACAUGCACGGACGCACACCCUACUUCUAUGCGUUCCUCUGAGAUAGUGAGUCACAACAUCUUAAGAUUUGACUCCACCACAUCUGGAUUCUUGCGCUUUGUUUGUUGUGUUUUUUUAGAAGAACGCAUGGAUAACUUUCUCUCCCCUUUGCAACGCACGGGCAAUUUUGCUAGUUUUUUCUUAAAUGUGCACACCUCCCUUUUUUUUACAGAACUUGUCCUCCUUUAUUCACUUAGCAAAAUAGUGGCAUCGUUUACAAGUAAUGAAAGCAGUACAUCCGGUGCCGAAUCCACCCAGAUAGAAGGAUGAGAACUUAACUAUCCUAGCGAGUUCAUGAGCUACUUUAUUACUCUCUCUAUUACAAUGAUCAUAAAUUACAUGAUUAAAAUCUGACGACAUGAAAUAACAAUCAUGAAUAAUUGCACUUGCCACCGAAGAGGAGUUGCCUGCUCUCAAAGCUUCCACAACCUCCAUGCUAUCCGAGUUGAUCACGAUCUUGCUCCAUCCAAUGGUUCUGGCUAGAUUCAAGCCAAAUCUGACCGCCAAUGCUUGUGCAGUGAACGAAUUCUUGCGUCCGCAACUGCAUGUGAGUCACGUGCCCAGGAGCGUGAACUAGCUCGAUCCAUUGGCUCGAUCCAUCUUAUGUGCACCGCACGCUACAUGCACGAGGCUGGUGGAAUGGAUAAGCUGCCGCUCGACUUGUCCAGUCCGGCCGGCACUCGAUCGCGGCCGUGCCAACUACACCUGGCGCGCGCGCGCGGGAGACGGAGAUUCUCCGCAAUCCCUCCUGGAUGCGCGCACGCACAGCACAGCCCGGUGCAUGCAUGGUGUAAUCCGAGCCGACCGGCCCGGGUGGCAGAGAAGAGGCGCUGCCCAUUCGGCGAGCGGUCAGCUCCCCGACGGGAGGCAGCAAGCAGAGGCGGUGCAUCCAUCCUGAUCCUGCCCCGCCGAUUCACCAAGGGCCGUCCUUCCCCUUGCCCCCGGCGGCCGGCGUCGAUCCUUCCCCUUGCACAACGGAAACCAGCAAAGCAAACACAACGUCCGGACUCUGCCGUGCUCUCCUCGAUCGAUUCGCCUUGGGACGUGACGCAUGCAUGCAUGCACCAGCUGCAUGUUGUUUUCCUUUCUUUUUGAACUGGAAGGGGGAUAGGCAGGAGGUCCCUGCCCCGGCUCUCCCAGUGAUAGAUCUGCCACAGCGUUCGGGGGCAUGGACAUCUUUUCAGAGAAAAGGACAGAGCUCGACUUUAUAAAUAAAGCCACGAGGAGAGUAACAACAAGCCACAUAAACGAACCACCAAAACAACCACAAAGUAUCGGUGCCACACCAAUCAGACUGAAGUUUAACGUACACGGCUCCCAGGCCAGUACACGGCACGCAGGCCAGUACACGGCACGCAGGCCGGAGACUCAAGAACAACGAUAGCAGGGCCAACAACUCCUAACUGCCGGCCUGAGCUCGAGGAAGGGAGGUAGCAGUAGCCCGAAUCUUGGUAGCCAUAUCAUCAAAAGCAUCCCGAUCCUCCUCCUUAGUCAAUAAUCUCCACUGCUGCAGGAAUAUGCAAGUUUUAAAUAAGCAAUCAACAGGUUUAGCAGGAAAAACAUGUUCAAUGGUAAACUUGUUCCUAGUCGUCCAGAGGGUCCAGCACAUCGCUGCAUAUCCCACCCAGAACAUUCUUCUCUGGGCCCCAACCAGGUUACGGGCCAGAAGACGAAGAUCUGAGAAGGAAGCCGGUCUCCAAGAGACAUGAAGCAACGAUCUGAUACAACAUCAAAAGAGUUUAGCCAAGACACAAUUGAAGAAGAUAUGAGGUGUCCUCUCUCUGGCCACAAAGAGCACAUCAAUCAGAUCCUGGACCAUUACGCUUGCGAACCUGGUCAGCAGCCGGCAGACACCCACGGGAGGCCUGCCAUAAGAAGACCUUAACCUUCGGAGGGAUGCGGGCCCUCCAGAUCCACUUAAAUUUGGAAGUGAUCGAGCUAGAAAUCAGCUUGCCAUACAACGACUUAACAGAGAACCACCCAGACGCAGAGUGGGGCCAGGCCACCGAGUCCUCCUCCUCCGAGAGCACAGGGAAGUGGGCAACAAGACGCUGCCAAUCGACCAACUCUUCAGGAGACAAAGAACGCCGCAACUGAAGGUCCCAGUUGUUGUCAGAGAGCUUAGAGAUCGAGAUCAUGGGAUUAGGGCAGUAAGAAAAAAGAACUGGGAAAGAAACAUCAAGAGUGGUAGUACCGCACCACCAAUCGAGCCAAAACCUAGUAGAUCUACUAUUAUGAACCACAAACUUGACUAGGCCUUGAAACACCGGCCUAAGCUUUACAAGAUCUUUCCUGAACUGAGAAGCGCCUGCAGUGGGGGCAAACAUAGGGCUGGAGGAAGAGAAGUAUUUGGCUUUGAGGAUGUUAUACCAAAGGGGUUUAUCCGGGGUAGACAUGAUCUUCCACCACCAUUUAAUGAUCAGGCAUUUGUUCAUGACUAAAGUAUUUCCAUGAUUAAAAUAAAUUCAUGGAUGUGUUGUCAAAGAAGACAUAACGAGUGCUUCAAAAUGCUUUAAAAAAUAGCUGGUUAGGAACAUUGAUCUUUUAUUGCCCAGACCUCGACGAAUUUCAUUCCAUCAUGAACAUUUGCAUGCAUUUGAAACAUUCAUCAAUGUUUAUCAUAACAACAGAUACAUAAUUUUUUGAUAUUUUUUAUUUUUAUUAACACUUUACUGUUCAUCCAAGUGCAUGUGCACCCGAGAGCAGAAACUCCAUGUUCAUGUGAAGUUUACUAGGUCAUAAACUUCAUGUAACAAACAAAAUAAAUAAUAAUGAUUUUGUAGCACUUAAAAACACAAAACGACAACUACACAAUGUCAAGAGAUUCUUAACUCCUAAUUCAUGAAUUGUCAGUCAACCCCAACUGCCAUUUCACCCAUAAUUUGGUGUUGUUUUAGUCAUUAUAGCACUUAACCCCUCUCUGGAGCGAUUUUGUGUGUGUGUGUGUGUGUGUGUGUGUGUGUGUGUGUGUGUUGUGUUUGUGCACGUGUUUAAUGUGUGCGCUGCCCAUGAGUAAAAGAAAAAUCCACGUUUCAUUUUUUUUUUUCAAAAAACAUGCACAUAUAAUUUAGCUGAAACUAACCCAUGCAUAUUCUUUUGGAAAAUAAUAUGAUCAUUUGGUCAAAAUGAGAACGAAAGCACUAUAAUUAAAAACUUUCACGCGUAAGGUUCUAACCAAUACUACCUUUAACCUGUUUUCUUCGUAAUUUUUCAAAACCUAUCAACAAGGAUAUCUUUUUUGCUAAGUUUUUGGAACUGAGUUCCGGUGGUAAUCAACCGAUGGUCCAAAAAUCCGCCCUCGUUUACGCCCAUCUUUGUUUUUGCCAAGUUUGAUGAUAUAGACUAGUACUUAAUUCGUAGUAUCGUGGAUACUUUCGGGCACCUCGAUAUUUGAUCUUUUCCGGAAACAAGACAGGGCGUGGUGCACUGAGCCCAUACCAUUCCAAGAGUUCAAUUAGGCCGACCGACGACGUGAGCUCCACCUCUUUUCCCUUGCUCGAAAUCGAAAGGGGGCACGUAGAGUACGUCCACAUGGCGGCAACUUUUCAAAGGCAGAAUCCUCCUGCAUCUGCAUGGCAUCCAUGCAUGUCGACUAAACCAACAGGCAACAGCUCUAUUAAUGGGUCGGCCCAUCGGAGCGGCGGUGCAAGAUCAUCGGAGCGGCAUGUCGCAUCACACGUACGACACGCAGGCUAGCUAGAUUGGCCGGCGUGACCCCAUUCGAUCUCUCCCUGAUUCUUUGCCCUUUCCUGCUCCGGCUCCGGCUCCGGCUCCAGGUGGGUGUGGGUGCUCCAUCAUCUGUCAGUAAUGACGGACGGACGGCCCUGUCAAUAAUCGAGCAAGGACAAGGGUUUUAUUCCGCGUGUGACUCAUUGCCCGUACGUGCCAACGGCCUGAUUUACGAGCAAGUUGGCCACAGGGUUCGUUUGCCUACUCGACACCUAGGGUUGAAGAAGGCGAAAUCGCUGCUUCUGCUAACCCAGAAACGUCUCCACACUAGGCUACACAAGUGUACGUACGCGUCCGUCCAUGCAUUGCACGCUGGUGCAACGGCCGGGGGAAGUUGAUCGGGGCAGACACUCGCAGCGGGUGCGGAAAGAAGCCCACCUGGGACGCACGGAUUUGCGUCGGGCAAUGCAAUGCAAAGCUCGCUCCAUCCGGCGCUAGCCGUCGUGCUCGAGGAAAAAGCUGUUCGGUAGGAUUCCAACUCAGGCGACCGUAGGCGCAAUCGGUCGCCCGUCCGUACGCCUGAGUGCCCGUCACCGUCGAUCGACCUCACUCGACUUAUAACCAGCUCAUCGAUCGAACUAACUGUCGAUGCAGAUGGGCCGUCGCGAGUCGAGGAGAGGCCCGUGCAUGCGGGCCACGAACGGACGUCUUGUCCUGCUCGAUCAUGGUUGGGCCGUCUUCCCGUCCGAUCAUCGGCACGUGACAGCUAGCGGGGGAGAUCGAUCGAUCGAUCGCACUGCCUGAGCGCGCGCGCCUCCUAUACGCACGUACAGUACGUACGACGCGCAGAUCCAGAUCGAUCGUCGAUGUUCCAUCGCCGAUCCGGCACGGAAACCGCCUGAUCGGCGUGCGUGCGUACUACGCCCGCGUUCGUGGUGUGUUCCCCGUCCGGCCGGCUGCUGCCGGAUCAAUGCCGAUGCGACGGCCAGCGGUCCCGGCGCAGGAUGCCUGGGCGCUGGUACUGUGCGCCUGGGCAAUUGGCAUGUGAGCUUUUUUUUUUAGCAGAAAUUGGCAUGUGAGAUCGAGUCUGGAGUAGCCGGUGGUCGACCGGGCCGGAGCCACAAGUCCAACGAGCGAUCCACAUGUAGAUCGAGCAACAUCCUGUGCUGUGCGAGCCUAUCGAUUUGGCCAGCGAUCGAUCGGCAUCCCUAGACAGCAACCCCAAAUAUAGCCAUGUUUUCAUCACGUUUACCCGUGUGGGAUAUCUACCCCACGUACCCACCCGGCCACUCCUGUCUCGAGUCACUGUGUACAGUACUAGCGAGAUGCACCAUUCGUAAAAUUCUUUUCACCAACUCCAUUGCGUUGCAUUUGUUCCUAUCCACUCAAGCUCAAGACCAAGAGCGUCUCUAUCCGAUCUCCAAUAAUUUAAAGGAGGAUAUGGCCCAGAAUCCUUGCUCCUUUAAAUAAUACUCCCUCCAUCCCGUAAUACAAUAUAAAAGUGUUUUUGAUACCGCACUAUGUUAGGUUGAUCUCUUUCCGUGUGGGCCCAACGGCCCACCGGGCCCCUGAUCCGCGCCCUGAUCGGGGGCGCCCAACCACAAUAUGGUUGACGGGCCCCUGUCACGCAGCGCUACAUAAAGAGGUGGGGGCCGGCGGCACGCAGUACGAGGUUCACCGCGUUGCCAGUCUCCCCACCGAAAACCCCGACCCGAUCUAGGUCUAGCGCUGACAGUGACGGGAAGCUCCGCCGCCGCCACUGCCUACACAUCGCCGUCACCUCCACCUUGCCCACUCUCCACCAUCGCCGUGCGCCCCAGCACCACAAUGGCCUCCUCGAGUUCAUCCUCCGCUGCACAAGGUAGGUUGUUUACCGGAUCUAAUCUAGCCUAGUGAUCCAGAGGGUCUAUCAAUGGUAUCAGGCCAUCUUGGCUAGAUGAUUUUCGGUAAAAGAUAAAACAGAGAAAGAAAAAGAACUCCCUCUUCCCCAAAGAACCCUAGAAGGGCAAAGAAGAAAAGAGCGCCGCCGUAAGGCCGCGCCGUUCCUCUCGAUCCCGAAUCGCAUCGGCAAGCCGAGGAUUCGGGAAGAAGAACCACCCCACAGGGGCAAAGAGCACCACCACCGAUCCAUUCGACGGCGGCGCGCUCACCGCAAUGGGAACGCGCGACCGGCGAAGGGGUCGGCAGGGGCGCAACCGCUCCAUCCAUCUAGGUCGCCGUUGGGCGUCAGCUGCCUCUCUCUCUCUCUCUCUCUCUCUGGGGAGGUGGUGGUUGGAGAGGAAUGAAACAAAAAAAAAAU
This 41834-nucleotide long non-coding RNA is filed under the name Triticum aestivum (bread wheat). RNAcentral describes it as "long non-coding RNA (TAES_LNC019794)". The record is from RNAcentral. Lineage: Eukaryota; Viridiplantae; Streptophyta; Magnoliopsida; Poales; Poaceae.